AGAGUUUGAUCCUGGCUCAGGAUGAACGCUGGCGGCGUGCUUAACACAUGCAAGUCGAACGAUGAUCCCAGCUUGCUGGGGGAUUAGUGGCGAACGGGUGAGUAACACGUGAGUAACCUGCCCUUAACUCUGGGAUAAGCCUGGGAAACUGGGCCUAAUACCGGAUAUGACUCCUCAUCGCAUGGUGGGGGGUGGAAAGCUUUAUUGUGGUUUUGGAUGGACUCGCGGCCUAUCAGCUUGUUGGUGAGGUAAUGGCUCACCAAGGCGACGACGGGUAGCCGGCCUGAGAGGGUGACCGGCCACACUGGGACUGAGACACGGCCCAGACUCCUACGGGAGGCAGCAGUGGGGAAUAUUGCACAAUGGGCGAAAGCCUGAUGCAGCGACGCCGCGUGAGGGAUGACGGCCUUCGGGUUGUAAACCUCUUUCAGUAGGGAAGAAGCGAAAGUGACGGUACCUGCAGAAGAAGCGCCGGCUAACUACGUGCCAGCAGCCGCGGUAAUACGUAGGGCGCAAGCGUUAUCCGGAAUUAUUGGGCGUAAAGAGCUCGUAGGCGGUUUGUCGCGUCUGCCGUGAAAGUCCGGGGCUCAACUCCGGAUCUGCGGUGGGUACGGGCAGACUAGAGUGAUGUAGGGGAGACUGGAAUUCCUGGUGUAGCGGUGAAAUGCGCAGAUAUCAGGAGGAACACCGAUGGCGAAGGCAGGUCUCUGGGCAUUAACUGACGCUGAGGAGCGAAAGCAUGGGGAGCGAACAGGAUUAGAUACCCUCGUAGUCC
This 775-nucleotide ribosomal RNA is filed under the name uncultured Arthrobacter sp. RNAcentral describes it as "bacterial SSU rRNA". It matches the Rfam family "Bacterial small subunit ribosomal RNA", at positions 8 to 796 of the family's 1533-position model. The record is from RNAcentral. Lineage: Bacteria; Bacillati; Actinomycetota; Actinomycetes; Micrococcales; Micrococcaceae.